UGAGCAACCUACCGAACUGUGGGGAUAGCCGGCCUAACGGCCGAGUAAUACCGCAUACGCUCUCAGAGAGGCAUUUCUUUGAGAGGAAACCUACGGGACAGAUCGAGGGCUCGCGGCCUAUCAGCUAGUUGGCGAGGUAACGGCUCACCAAGGCAACGACGGGUAGCUGGUCUGAGAGGAUGGCCAGCCACAGUUGGGACUGAGAUACCGGCCCAGACCUCCGUACGGGAGCAG
This 234-nucleotide ribosomal RNA is filed under the name uncultured bacterium. Its description in RNAcentral is "partial 16S ribosomal RNA". It matches the Rfam family "Bacterial small subunit ribosomal RNA", at positions 118 to 347 of the family's 1533-position model. The record is from RNAcentral.